RNAcentral lists this ribosomal RNA (642 nucleotides) under Triticum aestivum (bread wheat). RNAcentral's name for it is "partial small subunit ribosomal RNA". Lineage: Eukaryota; Viridiplantae; Streptophyta; Magnoliopsida; Poales; Poaceae. The record is from RNAcentral.
AUGAGCAAGGACUGCGGCAACCACGGCGAGGACGACAUCCGGCGCACGUGCCGGCGCUUCCUGGCCUUCCUCUUCUUCCUGGCCCUGGUGGUGGCCGUCAUCGCCCUCAUCGUCUACCUCGUCCUCCGCCCCACGCACCCGCGCUUCUAUCUCCAGGACGCCUCGCUCCGGCAGCUGGACGUGCUCACCGCCAACGCCUCCGCCGCGGCGGGCGUGCUCUCCACCGUGCUCCAGGUCACCGUCGCCUCCCGCAACCCCAACGACCGCGUCGGCGUCUACUACGACCGCCUCGACGUCUACGCCUCCUACAAGUACCAGCAGAUCACGCUGGCCUCCGCGCUCCCGCCGGUGUACCAGGGCCACGGCGACGUCGAGGUGUGGUCCCCGGUGCUCUCCGGCCCGAACGUCCCCUUCGCGCCCUACCUCGCCGACGCGCUCGCCAAGGACGUCCAGGCCGGGUACCUCAUCCUCCAGGUGAAGAUCGACGGCCGCGUCCGGUGGAAGGUGGGCAGCUGGAUCUCCGGCCACUACCACAUCUUCGUGACCUGCCCCGCCUUCCUCAUCGGCACCGGCGGCAACGGCGCGCCCGGGGCCAACGGGCUCAGGUUCCAGACCGCCACCUACUGCCACGUCGAGGUCUAG